GCGGACGUGGCGGAAUUGGUAGACGCGCUAGAUUUAGGUUCUAGUGCCGCAAGGCGUGAGAGUUCGAGUCUCUCCGUCCGCA
RNAcentral lists this transfer RNA (82 nucleotides) under Cyanobacteria bacterium QH_1_48_107. Its description in RNAcentral is "tRNA-Leu". It matches the Rfam family "tRNA". From Rfam's summary of the family: Transfer RNA (tRNA) molecules are approximately 80 nucleotides in length. The record is from RNAcentral. Lineage: Bacteria; Bacillati; Cyanobacteriota. RNAcentral also lists the same sequence under 22 other names.